This 522-nucleotide ribosomal RNA is filed under the name Triticum aestivum (bread wheat). RNAcentral describes it as "partial small subunit ribosomal RNA". Lineage: Eukaryota; Viridiplantae; Streptophyta; Magnoliopsida; Poales; Poaceae. The record is from RNAcentral.
AUGCGGAUGGACAAUGGCGAUGAGCUGGACGACUACGCCAGGAAGGUCAGCGGCAUGGCGGCGAGGUACGCGCUGCUCGGGUCGACGCUCGACAACAGCGCCAUGGUGAAGAAGUUGCUCGACACCGUGCCGGACCGCCUGUACGCCGCGGUGGCCGGAAUCGAGCAGUUCUGCAAUAUGGAGGAGAUGGCGUUUGAGGAGGCACUCGGGCGACUCAAGGCGUUCGAGAAGUGGACGCGGCGGCGCGUGCAGGCCGGCGGCGAGCACGCGGACGGGCAGCUGAUGAUGAUGGCAGCACAGUGGGCGGCUCGGGAGCGACGACAAGGCGGACGCGGCUUCGGCGACCACGACAACGACGGCGUGGCGAGCACAUCGUCAUGCAAUGGAGGGAAGCGUCGUGGGCAUUGCUACAAAUGCGGGGAGCACAUGCACUUCCGGUGCGAGUGCCCGCAGCUGCGGAAAGGACCGGCGGCGGAGCAGGCUCUCUUGGCCGAUGCCAACGUCGACGACGGCAGACUUCUC